Molecule: non-coding RNA, 2931 nt
Organism: Heterocephalus glaber (naked mole-rat)
Lineage: Eukaryota; Metazoa; Chordata; Mammalia; Rodentia; Bathyergidae
Source: RefSeq, a predicted model, not a curated record
CUUAGUAUAAGUAUUCAAGUUCAGAUAACAAGUAGAUACAUUUAUGAUUUAAGUUUUACCAAAGUCAACUGUUGAAAACAAUUUUUGUAGUUUGAACUACUUCUAAAGAACAUGACUUUUCACUUUUGGAAAAGGAGGACCAAAUUGACAGUUGUAAAAUGUAAUUUUUCAUUUUGGAUAAAUGUCCCUGAUGUUGUAGAAAUGGCCUGGACUAGUGAAAUUCACAAUAGGGAGCUGUGAUCUAAUCUUGGCUUUUUUAAAAAAUCAAAAUCUUGGCUUUAAUCAAGUGACUUAAUUUUGACAAUAGUUGUAUUUUGUGUUGUGAAGACCAAAUGAAAUAGUGGCUACCAUAGUAAUAAUAAUGUGCAAUAGUAGUAAUAAACACCUAUCAGGUGUGGAGUAUCAGUGAGGUGAUGGAUACUAUUUUCCAUAGUUUAUAUCAUGUUUAAUGUUCUCUUUAGGGGAAAUGAGGCUCAACAUUUCAUAACACAUAAGGUACAUUGUCAUCUGGAUGAUUAAUUCCAGACAAAGACACUGUUAGGAGGGAUAUGCUAAGAGACCACUUUCAGAGCUCAGCCUAGAGACUAGGAAUGUUUAAAUCAGCAAAUUUUCAUACUAUAGCAUAUAACAAUCAGCUGGGAGGGGUUGGUGGAAUACAGAUUGCGGUGCUCUAUCUCUAGAGUUUCUGACUAGUUCUUUGUGAGGUCUGAAAAUCAGGCUGCUGCUAGUGUGAAUACCACAGAUUACUACAGUCUAAAUUCAACAUUGUGGGAUUGAAAUGCAAAAACAGGCCCAAUUUGAGAGCUAUUUGGGAGUCAUUCUCAAUCUAUCCCUGUGAUAGUUGCAGUUGUAACUAUUUGAACAUUAUUUUCCAUCAGAUGCUGUACUAAAUCCUUUUGUGCAUUACCUUCUCCCACCUCCACCACAUAUAAUCUUCACAAGCCUCUGAGGAAAAAAAAUAGUAUUCACUCCCUUUUACAGUUAAGGAAAUGGAUGUUCAGAUUAGCUCAUUUCCUAUGAUUUGCAUGGUAAUGAAUGUCUAGUUCUAUAGUUGUGCUUUUGUUACCACUAUGUUAGAGUCAAUCCAAAAAUUCCUUUUAGGUCUGUCUUUUUUGUUUUCUCUGAUACUGCUUAGGUUAGUUCUUGGACUUUCCCUAGUAAAGCUUCUUAGAAGAUCCCCCUACCUCAUAUCUGAUGCCACCUAAUCUCUUUCACACUGCUUACAGUUUUCAUUCUUAAAAAUAGGCUAUAUUGUGCUACUCCCUGCUUUAAAAUUGAUUUUUAUUUUCCAGCUCUUCUGCCCAUUUGUCUUCAAAGUACAAUGGACCCUCAAAUUACAACUGGCCUGACAUACGAACAACUUGGAUUCAUUAGAUUAGAACGAGGGAGCUGCAACACGUAAUUACUAGAACAUUUGGAAAAGCCAUGUUUUACCCAGUUAUGCUUGCAGGGUGUCUUAGUCACUUUCCUUGUGGCUGAGAUACAAUACCCAACACCCUGAACUUAAAGGAGGGCAGAAAGAGCAUGGUAGAGAAUAGCUGCUCACAUCAUGGAGGUCAGAAAGCAGAGAGAGGAGCGAGAGCCAAGGGCGUGAGAUGCCCCCAGUGACCCACCUCUGUCCUCCUUAGCAGCAUGUCAGCUGUGAACCUCUCAGUGGACCAAUCUACGCAUCAUAUAGUGCCUAGUCACCUUCCAAACACGUGAGACUGGGGGCCACUUUUCACAUCCCAACCAUAACAGGAAAACCUGAAUAACUUGACAAAAUAGCAAAUAAUAUUUACAAAAACUUAACUUUGAGUAUGUCUUGAAAUUUUAAUAUAUAUUGUCAAUGGAAUACAAACCCAAGAUAGAUUUUUUUAAUGAUAUUUCUAAUUAUAUGUUUUCUUAUAAAUUCCAAGCUCAAGAAAAUUGAAGAGGUAUUUUUUUUCCUGUCUUGUGUGUGUGUGUGUGUGUGUGUGUGUGUGUGUGUGUGUGUGAAUAAAUACGAGUUUUAGGGCAAGGAAAUGAAAUGGUGAAAAUAGCAUUCAUUUCAGGGCUUAAAAAAAUAUUGUAAAGGAAUGUGUGACUUUAAGUAAAAAAGGAACACGUAUGGUCCAAAGAACCAUCAUAAUUGACAAAUGUGCUAGUAAUCAUUUAAUAGAAAACAAACUUUAUUACACAAAAUUCCAUGACAAAUAAUGCUUAACACAUGUUUGGAAAUAAUCCCAGACCAAAUCCCAGGGCCACUGUGAUUUAGGGAGUGUGGUAAAAUUUGCAACUCUGUGGCAUUCUAGUCCUUAUUUGUAGCUAAACUGGGACAUCAUUCCCAAUUUCUUCAGCAAAGACAGUAGAGUCAUUUAAAUUGUCCACUGGUAAUUGGUUUUUCUUGAUAGAAAAUGGAAAAAAUUGAGCAUGAAUAUUUUUUACUCAUCUGGGAUAAACAUUACUAUGUCUGGUUUCCAUGUGGAGGUUUCUUUACUGAUGUCUGUCAUUACUCAUAGUUUUAUUAAUUAUAUUUAUAGUCCUUAAUUAAUAUUAAGUACUUAAUUAUAGUACUUAAUAAUGGUAGGAAUUUGGGGAAAUUCUAUUUUUACCCACAGCAGUUGAAGGAUCAUUACUAUCCCCCACCCCCAAAGAAAGCCUCCUCCAGAAUCAUUUUAAUAACUAGAUAGCUUGCCUUCUAAGUACCCAUAGCCCUUCUUCAACUUCCACCUAUAUGCCACACACAGGCAAACGUCUGUUUCAUCCCAGCCAUUCCCCCUUUUGUGUGUACCACACACAUAUACUGAAUAGCCCACUAAAUGUUUCCAUUUGAGUAUCCUGUGAAGACCUCAAAUCUCUACAUGUCCAAAAACCCAUUUAUCUUUAUCCCUGUAUAGCAAAUACAUAUGCUCUUAGCAAACUGCUUAAACUCUACAAGACUUAGUUUCCUCUUUUGUAACAUAGAUAUAA